This is a long non-coding RNA of Equus asinus (donkey), 1520 nucleotides long. Lineage: Eukaryota; Metazoa; Chordata; Mammalia; Perissodactyla; Equidae. The record is from Ensembl.
UGAUAGCGCCAUUUAUCGAGAGCUGGCCACCUCGCUGAACUCGUUGCGUGCCUGUCUCUCCUGGUUCUGACAGCGACCUCAGGAGGAAAGCUCUACGCGAGUCAGGAGGCUGAGGGGCAGCGAGGCUGGGGGAAUUUGGCUCCAUUUCUGCAGCUGGCCCUGGGCUGAGUCCCCCACGGAUAGCGUCCGUCCUGCAGUAAAGAGGGGACACGGCCACAGAGGGGCUGGCCUCCGAUCUGCACCUGCUCCCUGUUCCGGAACGUGGGGCCGCCUCUUGGACUGCCGUGAGCAUUUCAGGAGAGAAUGCACGUAGAGGCAAAGACCCGGAGCCUGGCACAGAAGGCGCGUGUGAGAAUCAUUGUUUCUGCGAUGAUUAUGAACAUAGUUACUGCUGUCCUGGAGUUCCCGGGAGCUGCCCGUGCAGAUGCGUAGAGAGCCCUUGCUGCAUUAGCAUCCCCUGGGAGCUUGUCAGAAGCGUUAAUUCCUGGCCCCUCCUCAGACCAAGUGAAUCAGGAGUUGCAUUUUAACAAGAUCCCCUAGUGACCUGCGUGCACGUUCAAGUUUGAGAGGCCCGGCUAAGCGCCCGGGAGAAAGGAAUUUUCAACCCGGUGCUGGAAUCCACCAUUUGCUCUCCGGCGCCACCUUGAGGCCUGUUGAAGAAUUGACCUGGGCAAGCCGACGACGGCACGGCGCGAAAUUUCCAGCCCCGCGUCUCUGCAGACCAGUUCUCAGGCUCACUUUGGGCAGGUUACUUGACUCCUCUGAGCCGUGGAUGCCUCAGACUCCUUACCUGUAACACCGACAUUGCAACUCACGCACAGUGCCUGCCCCAGAGUUGGUGCUGACAAAACGUUCUACCACGUUCAGGAUGAGUCCUUGCUUCCCAGAUGGAACCUGGACAUAAUGUAGGGAGCAGGCUACCGAAUCCAUGGUGUUAAUGGCUUAAGUUGCAUCCCCCCCCCCCCCACCAAAAGAUGUUGAGGGCUUAAUGCCCAGAACCUGAGAAUAUGACCUUUUUUGGAAAUAGGGUCAUUGCAGAUAUAAUUCAUUAAGCUGAGUAGAGUGGACCCUUAAUCCAACUCGCCUGGUGUCUCUAUAAGAAGAGGGAAGACCCUGUGAAGACAGACACACAGGGGGAGAAGGCCAUGUGAUGACGGAAGCAGAGACUGGAGUGAUGCAGCAGCAAGCCGAGGAGUGAUGGCCACCGCCGGAAGAUGGAAGAGGCAAGGAAAUAUUGUCCCCAGUCUCAGAGGGAGCACGGCCCUGCUGACACCUCCAUUUCAGAUUUCAGGCCUCCAGAACUGCGAGACAAUAAAAGUAUGAUGUUUUAAGUCACCCAGUUUGUGAUACUUUGUUACAGCAGCCUUCGCAAAUGCACACACAUGGGAAGGCUCAUCUUCUAUGUAAGUUAGAUGUGGGCACUAGAAUAUCUCAGGGUCCCUUUCCUCUAGAGGAAGAAAUUAAACAUGUCUCCUUUACAGCAGAGGAUAUACUAAUGGCCGAUAAGUGCAUGAAAAGAU